AGUGAACCAUUCCCAUCCAUAACCGCUGUGGUCAACUGUCGUAUCGACACCUUUGGUGGAGACUCACUUUUACAAGCAGCACAGAGCUAGAUUCCCCAACGUUAUUGAACAUUAAUUACAAAAUCUUGAUUGACCCAAAAGAGCUGCAUGAUAACUGGCGGAGGACCCUAAAAUCCCGAUGUCGAGACCUGAAAAUUACAAAACCACUGAGCAUGACCACGAUCUGCGCUCAAGAGCAGCUGGCGGGUUUGGUUCUCCUAGUAGACCAAUAGAAAAAGAUGGAGCCGCUGGUGAAGACCUACAAACUGUCAUCAACACGCUUCAAACACAACUAGAAGAACAAAAGAGACAUAUGAAAGAUAAAGAGGAGUCGAUGUUCAGAGAAGUGGAAAAGCAAAGACAUCAAAACCAGGCUUUGCAAGAUGAAAUGGACCGACAAAGGAGAGAACUGAUUGAAGCCAGGGCAAUCUUGUCCCUAAAUGAAGACAGGACAACUGAGACUACAGGAGAAAAUACAACAUUAACAAUCCCGUUUAGCGACACUCACCAUAGUACAACAUCAGUGACAGGAAAUAGCGCAACAAAUACAACAAAAACAGCUGCAUGAUAUAGAUAAAAAUGUUCAUCAGGCUAAGAUAUAUUUGUUUUAAAAUUUUCAGACGAAUCAGACAAAUUGUUGUUAGGUUGCUGCC
RNAcentral lists this long non-coding RNA (692 nucleotides) under Mytilus galloprovincialis (Mediterranean mussel). The record is from RNAcentral. Lineage: Eukaryota; Metazoa; Mollusca; Bivalvia; Mytilida; Mytilidae.